AGCUUUGCAAAGUGGCAGUGUCAUAGCCAAUGAGGUUUCUCCGAGGCGUGAUUAUUGCUAAUUGAAAAGAGUUGAAAUCAUGUUCUCUGGAAUUUAAAUUGGAGAUCAAUAGGAAGAUAUAAGGAAAAUCUCCAAAUAU
Callorhinus ursinus (northern fur seal) is the source of this 139-nucleotide non-coding RNA. The record is from RefSeq and is a predicted model, not a curated record. NCBI's taxonomy places the organism in Eukaryota, Metazoa, Chordata, Mammalia, Carnivora, Otariidae.